GAUGAACGCUGGCGGCGUGCUUAACACAUGCAAGUCGAACGGAAAGGCUCCUGCUUGCAGGGGUACUCGAGUGGCGAACGGGUGAGUAACACGUGGGUGAUCUGCCCUGCACUUCGGGAUAAGCCUGGGAAACUGGGUCUAAUACCGGAUAGGACGACGGUUUGGAUGCCAUUGUGGAAAGUUUUUCGGUGUGGGAUGAGCUCGCGGCCUAUCAGCUUGUUGGUGGGGUAAUGGCCUACCAAGGCGUCGACGGGUAGCCGGCCUGAGAGGGUGUACGGCCACAUUGGGACUGAGAUACGGCCCAGACUCCUACGGGAGGCAGCAGUGGGGAAUAUUGCACAAUGGGCGCAAGCCUGAUGCAGCGACGCCGCGUGGGGGAUGACGGCCUUCGGGUUGUAAACUCCUUUCGCUAGGGACGAAGCGCAAGUGACGGUACCUGGAGAAGAAGCACCGGCUAACUACGUG
RNAcentral lists this ribosomal RNA (465 nucleotides) under uncultured bacterium. RNAcentral describes it as "partial 16S ribosomal RNA". It matches the Rfam family "Bacterial small subunit ribosomal RNA", at positions 28 to 507 of the family's 1533-position model. The record is from RNAcentral.